UACGUAGGGGGCAAGCGUUGUCCGGAAUCAUUGGGCGUAAAGAGCGUGUAGGCGGUUCGUUAAGUCGGCUGUGAAAGUCCAGGGCUAAACCCUGGGAUGCCGGUCGAUACUGCCGGACUAGAGUUCGGAAGAGGCGAGUGGAAUUCCCGGUGUAGCGGUGAAAUGCGCAGAUAUCGGGAGGAACACCUAUGGCGAAGGCAGCUCGCUGGGACGUUACUGACGCUGAGACGCGAAAGCGUGGGGAGCAAACAGG
Molecule: ribosomal RNA, 253 nt
Filed under: uncultured bacterium
Lineage: Bacteria
Description: partial 16S ribosomal RNA
Rfam family: Bacterial small subunit ribosomal RNA
Source: RNAcentral